This 450-nucleotide ribosomal RNA is filed under the name uncultured Glomeromycotina. Its description in RNAcentral is "SSU rRNA". It matches the Rfam family "Eukaryotic small subunit ribosomal RNA", at positions 569 to 1027 of the family's 1831-position model. Lineage: Eukaryota; Fungi; Glomeromycota. The record is from RNAcentral.
AGCAGCCGCGGUAAUUCCAGCUCCAAUAGCGUAUAUUAAAGUUGUUGCAGUUAAAAGCUCGUAGUUGAAUUUCGGGGUUAGUAGGUCGGUCGUGCCACAGGUACGUACUGGUCUCACUGAUUCCUCCUUCCUGAUGAACCGUAAUGCCAUUAAUUUGGUGUUGCGGGGAAACUGGACUGUUACUUUGAAAAAUUGAGUGUUUAAAGCAGGCUAACGCUUGAAUACAUUAGCAUGGAAUAAUGAAAUAGGACGUUCGAUCCUAUUUUGUUGGUUUCUAGGAUUGACGUAAUGAUUAAUAGGGAUAGUUGGGGGCAUUAGUAUUCAAUUGUCAGAGGUGAAAUUCUUGGAUUUAUUGAAGACUAACUACUGCGAAAGCAUUUGCCAAGGAUGUUUUCAUUAAUCAAGAACGAAAGUUAGGGAUCGAAGACGAUCAGAUACCGUCGUAGUCUU